AGAUUGAACGCUGGCGGCAGGCUUAACACAUGCAAGUCGAGCGGUAGCAGGUCCUUCGGGAUGCUGACGAGCGGCGGACGGGUGAGUAAUACAUAGGAAACUGCCCAGUAGUGGGGGGAUAGCCCGGGGAAACCCGGAUUAAUACCGCAUACGCCCUUUGGGGGAAAGCAGGGGAUCUUCGGACCUUGCGCUAUUGGAUGUGCCUAUGUCGGAUUAGCUAGUUGGUGGGUAAAGGCCUACCAAGGCGACGAUCCGUAGCUGGUCUGAGAGGAUGAUCAGCCACAUCGGGACUGAGACACGGCCCGAACUCCUACGGGAGGCAGCAGUGGGGAAUAUUGGACAAGUGGGGGCAACCCGUGAUCCAGCCAUGCCGCGUGUGUGAAGAAGGCUUUCGGGUUGUAAAGCACUUUCAGUGAGAGGAACACCUUGCGAUUAAUACUCACAGGCUUAGACGUUACUCACAGAAGAAGCACGACUAACUCCGU
Molecule: ribosomal RNA, 485 nt
Filed under: uncultured soil bacterium
Lineage: Bacteria
Description: bacterial SSU rRNA
Rfam family: Bacterial small subunit ribosomal RNA
Source: RNAcentral